GACGAACGCUGGCGGCGUGCCUAAUACAUGCAAGUUGAGCGAUGAAGAUUGGUGCUUGCACCAAUUUGAAGAGCAGCGAACGGGUGAGUAACGCGUGGGGAAUCUGCCUUUGAGCGGGGGACAACAUUUGGAAACGAAUGCUAAUACCGCAUAACAACUUUAAACAUAAGUUUUAAGUUUGAAAGAUGCAAUUGCAUCACUCAAAGAUGAUCCCGCGUUGUAUUAGCUAGUUGGUGAGGUAAAGGCUCACCAAGGCGAUGAUACAUAGCCGACCUGAGAGGGUGAUCGGCCACAUUGGGACUGAGACACGGCCCAAACUCCUACGGGAGGCAGCAGUAGGGAAUCUUCGGAAAUGGACGAAAGUCUGAACGAGCAACGCCGCGUGAGGGAAGAAGGGUUUCGGAUCGGAAAACUCUGUUGGUAGAGAAGAACGUUGGUGAGAGUGGAAAGCUCAUCAAGUGACGGUAACUACACAGAAAGGGACGGCUAACUACGUG
This 497-nucleotide ribosomal RNA is filed under the name uncultured bacterium. RNAcentral's name for it is "partial 16S ribosomal RNA". It matches the Rfam family "Bacterial small subunit ribosomal RNA", at positions 28 to 507 of the family's 1533-position model. The record is from RNAcentral.